UGGCACUGGCAAUGCACAUACUUACUAGA
This 29-nucleotide non-coding RNA is filed under the name Homo sapiens (human). The record is from RNAcentral. Lineage: Eukaryota; Metazoa; Chordata; Mammalia; Primates; Hominidae.